This 597-nucleotide long non-coding RNA is filed under the name Fukomys damarensis (Damara mole-rat). Its description in RNAcentral is "lncRNA (ENSFDAG00000024782.1)". The record is from RNAcentral. Lineage: Eukaryota; Metazoa; Chordata; Mammalia; Rodentia; Bathyergidae.
UUUACCCUGUUAUAAAUGUUUUUCUUUUCCUUUUCAGGAAUCUUUGUAAUAGUUUACCCUUGGCUACUGAAGUCUUUGACCAAAGCUGCUUUCAGCCCAAGGGCUGCCUCAGAAACUAGGGAAACAUUUGAGAGGCUCUCAGCCCAGUGGACCCUCUGAAGUGUGGCAGCUGCAGACAGUGGAUUCCCGAUCCUUCUUCUCUGCCUUAGAUAGCAGGGGGAUUGUCCUGAAGCACCAGCCAAAACAGACAGCCUACUCCUCAUCUUUGCAGUGGAAACUAAAAAAGGAAGCUGGUGGAACAGAUUCACAGGACACGAACCAGCUAGGUGAAGAAUUGGAAAGGAACUUUUCCAGUCUCCAUUUUCUUCAUAUUAUAAGGGGGGAAAAUAUGGAAUCUCCAUCUAUUCUGUGAAGGGGACCGACAGCCAAUCCCAGGAGGGAGCAGUUCUCUUCCCUAGUCCUGCCGGAUUCUGCCCUUCUGCCUCGGCUCAUCUUCUUCCACUGCCCAGGAGCACUGCCCUUGUUGUUUCUGAGAGGUGGGCAAACAUCUCUUCAUUUUCUUGUGUCUUCUUGGGGUGCUUUAUUACUUUGAAAUGG